CUUCAAAAAAAAAUCAAGGUGAAUGGAAAACCUGAAAAUCCUGGUGGAGGUGUUAUAAUCAUUGAAAGGAGCAAGAACAGGAUUACCAUUACUUCUGAGAUAAGGAAACCGGAACAUGGAGAAGUUGAGAUACCCAUGGACAUGGAGCUUAUAAAGGAAGAACCGGGAUUCUAAAAUCCCAGAAAAUAAGGACUCAGGUCCACAAUCUCCCACUUCUCCCUGUCCCCCCUGGUAAACUAGACAGAGGUGGGGAGGGGGCAUGCUCUGAGUAAGAAACAUGGCCACUAUGAAGAGUCUCCACAUCCAGAGCUCCAUUUUCUCUGGAUUUAAUUACCCAGGAAGAUUGCUUUUCCUCAUAGGGAACAGUUCUGACUCCCUUCUUGGUAUCUGAUGUCUAAUUUUGGACCCCACUUCACCCCCUCAGGUCUCCAUCAUGGUGCAUAGAAAGGCUUUGGAGCCACUCAGUCCUGGACCUCACUCAGCUCCACUAUUAACUUGCGAUGCAAUUUGGUCACAUUAUGUGGUCUAACUCUCUGUGUCUUAGUUUCCCUAUCUGUGUAAUCAAGAUGAUGACCUUCUGCUUUGACUUUGUGAAGAUUAUUGUGUCCAGCACAUAGGGCCUCAAUAAAUGAUCCCUUUCUCUUCACU
Molecule: long non-coding RNA, 648 nt
Organism: Lutra lutra (Eurasian river otter)
Lineage: Eukaryota; Metazoa; Chordata; Mammalia; Carnivora; Mustelidae
Exons: 2
Source: RefSeq, a predicted model, not a curated record